This 528-nucleotide small RNA is filed under the name Pongo abelii (Sumatran orangutan). Its description in RNAcentral is "retained intron". Lineage: Eukaryota; Metazoa; Chordata; Mammalia; Primates; Hominidae. The record is from RNAcentral.
UUUGCAAAGUGCUGUUUUGCUUUCUUUUGUACUUAAAAUGAAGUAUUUUUUCCUAUUUGGGUAAUUUUGUGGACCAAACUAUGACUUGAUUAUCAAAUGCUGUAUAUCAUUGAUUUUGUUUUUUUCUAGCCUCUUGUUGCUGUACCACACAGAAUUCACUCAACAAGUAGAAAUGUGAGAGAAGAAAAAACACGCUCAGAGAUAAACUUUGGCCAAGUGAAAUUUGAUCCACCCUUAAGAAAGGAGACAGAACCACAUCAUGAACUUGAUCUGCAACUGGAAUGUGGACAAGGACACCAAGGUAGUUACUUUUUAGGUGCAAACAAGAGUCUUCUCAAGUCUGUUGAAGAAGAAUUGCAUCAGCGAGGACACGUGGCACAUUUAGAAGAUGAUGAAGGAGAUGAUGAUGAAUCUAAACAUUCAACUCUGAAAGCAAAAGUUCCACCUCCUUUGCCACCAAAGCCUAAGUCUAUCUUCAUACCACAGGAAAUGCAUUCUACUGAGGAUGAAAAUCAAGGAACAAUCAAG